This is a long non-coding RNA of Rana temporaria (common frog), 1236 nucleotides long. RefSeq lists it as uncharacterized. The transcript is spliced from 2 exons. Lineage: Eukaryota; Metazoa; Chordata; Amphibia; Anura; Ranidae. The record is from RefSeq and is a predicted model, not a curated record.
ACACUGCGCACGUGUGGCGCAACGCACGAUACCCCGCCCCUGACGUUCCGUCUCGUCCUUUACACGCCCCUUUCUCGAUCUUUUUUUGUGGGUGUGAUUUAUGGUGGUUGAAGACAUGCAGCGAAAUAUGUCAGGCUCAAGACAUGAGGUAGGCCAGGCCCAGGCAACAGGAAGAUCCAGGCGGAGGUACAAGGCCAAAAACAUGGCAUUCCAGGAGAUGGUCGAGGUGGUCACCAUCUUCACUAAUGAGGACUAUGAUGGGAAGCACGGGCCUUACCUGCACCCCAAUAAGGUGAAGGCGGACAUUACAGAUAAAGUGAUUAGAAGGCUCCGGCAGAAAUUUGGAGAACGCAGGUCCAAAGAACAAAUAAGAAAGAGGUGGUCAGACCUGAAAAAAAGAGAGCCAGAGCAACUUCAGGCAAUAAAAAGAUUGAUUAGAGCAAAAAGUAAGUUCAUUUUAUGUGCCCUAAUUUUAGGUGUUUGUUCUUUGUGCCAUGUGCUUUUCCCUUCAGGUUGAAAUGUAUUUGUGUGGGCACAAUAAUUUGUCGUAUGAGUUGUCGUUCAUUUGUUAAUUUAACUAAUAUUAAACGACGAUAUUCCCGAUAAAUUGCAACAUGCCUAGUUCACAUGGACAAAUUGUAGUGCAAUCACUGUAUCAGCCACAAAUAAAAACAUAUUUGUCUGAUUUAUGUUAUAACGAACGACGACUCAUAUGACCAGUUCCUGUGUUCCCAAAUAUUCAAUUUUACACAAAUUUUUGGGGUUUAAUGUGACAUCAAUUUGUAAACAUGUAUGUAGAUGUUUACCUAAUUAGAUCUUAAUAAUUUAUAUCUAAAAUAUGCACAAAAAGGACAGUGUACUCAGCAGAGGAUUAUACACAUAGGGAUUUAUUUGGUUUAAAAUUGUGAUUUUAAGUUUCAUCCCUCUAAAAUUUUACCAUUCUGUUUUCCCUUUCUUCAAUCUCGUAGGGCGAAAGGAAGCAUCAAGGCAGGUCGCAAGUUCGCAAGCCACACCCCCGAGGGAUCUUGAUGAAGGGGAAGCUGCCACCACAUCUGGAGCAACUCGUGCUGGCUCUUCAAUUGACAGGGACACUGCCCAGCUCCUUCAUUGCAGAAAUUUGGUCCUGCCGGGAAAAGAAUGAAGACCUACAGAUAGCAGCCCGGAAAAUACUUAAAAAUGCAAAAAGUGUUGAGGUCCAGUUGAAAAAUCUACUGGAUGUUUUGGGUAGGGUGUGAA